GAAAUGCGAUACGUAAUGCGAAUUGCAGAAUUCAGUGAAUCAUCAAAUCUUUGAACGCAAAUGGCGCUCUCGGGAUAGGCCUGAGAGCACGCCUCUUUGAGUAUCGAUUCUACCCAAUCCAGUGAACUUGUUUGUUUGCUGGGACAGUGAGUCGUUCACAAGCAAUUGUGCGACUUGAAAAAGAAUGGGUGCGAAGUGACGAUCAGUUUGACACUUUCACUUGUGAAAGGGUCUAGACUCCGUCAUCAACACAAAUGACUUGCUAGGUAAUUGGAUUCAAUUCCAACAAAACACCGUGUGCGAGGCAUUUGUUCGACGGUCGUUCGAACCACUAAUUGUUCAAUCACCCUCAAUCUAACUCACUACACCAAAUUUUGAAUUAGAUCUCAAAUGAAGCGAG
Molecule: unclassified non-coding RNA, 400 nt
Filed under: uncultured fungus
Lineage: Eukaryota; Fungi
Description: sequence contains ITS1
Rfam family: 5.8S ribosomal RNA (bases 1-106)
Source: RNAcentral